GACGAACGCUGGCGGCGUGCCUAAUACAUGCAAGUAGGACGCAGUUGCGAACGGGUGAGUAACGCGUAGGUCACUAUCUAUGAGAGGGGGAUAACAAUUGGAGCCGAUAGCUCAUACCGCAUACUAGUAGAUGUACCUGCGUUGUAUUAGCGAGGAGGUAGGGUAAUGGCCUACCUAGGCAACGUUACAUAGUCGAGCUGAGAGGGAGAACGGCCACCAUGGGACUGGGACACGGGCCAGAACCCUACGGGAGGCAGCAGUAGGGAAUUAUUGGAAAUGGGGGGAACCCUUACCGCGGCAAGCCGCGGGAGAGAAGAAGGGUUUCGGAUUGGAAAGCUCCGUUGUGAAGGGAGCGGUACUUAACCAGAAAGGGACGGCUAACUACGUGCCAGCAGCCGCGGUAAUUC
Molecule: ribosomal RNA, 407 nt
Filed under: uncultured bacterium
Lineage: Bacteria
Description: partial 16S ribosomal RNA
Rfam family: Bacterial small subunit ribosomal RNA
Source: RNAcentral